AUGUCUCUAGUGAUCCCUGAGAAGUCCCAGCAUAUUUUGUGAGUACUCAACACCAACAUUGAUGGGCAUCGGAAAAUAGCUUUUGCCAUCAUUGCCAUCAAGGGCGUGUGUUGAAGAUACGCUCCUGUGGUGUUGAGGAAAGCUGACAUUGACCUCACUGAGAGGCCAGGAGAACUCACUGAGCAUAAGGUGGAUGUGUGAUCACCACUAUGCAGAAUCCAUGCCAGCCCAAGAUCCCAGACUGGUUCUCAAACAGACAGAAAGAUAUAAAGGACGGAAAAUAUAGCCAGGACCUGGCCAAUGGUCUGGAUAACAACCUCUGUGAGAACCUGGAGCAACUGAAGAAGAUUUGAGCCCAGAGAGGGCUAUGCCACUUCUGGGGCCUUCAUGUCCCAGGCCAGCACAGCAAGACCACUGGCCGCUGUGGCCAUACCAUGGGUGUAUCUAAGAAGAAAUAA
This 458-nucleotide long non-coding RNA is filed under the name Homo sapiens (human). RNAcentral's name for it is "non-protein coding lnc-C20orf196-5:1". Lineage: Eukaryota; Metazoa; Chordata; Mammalia; Primates; Hominidae. The record is from RNAcentral.